Molecule: ribosomal RNA, 206 nt
Filed under: uncultured bacterium
Lineage: Bacteria
Description: partial 16S ribosomal RNA
Rfam family: Bacterial small subunit ribosomal RNA
Source: RNAcentral
UGCGCAGGCGGUUAUAUAAGACAGAUGUGAAAUCCCAGGGCUCAACCUUGGAACUGCCUUUGAAACUCCUGUUCUUGAGGUCGAGAGAGGUGAGUGGAAUUCCGAGUGUAGAGGUGAAAUUCGUAGAUAUUCGGAGGAACACCGAUGGCGAAGGCAAUCCCCUGGGCCUGUACUGACGCUCAUGCACGAAAGCGUGGGAGCAAACA